GACGAACGCUGGCGGCGUGCUUAACACAUGCAAGUCGAACGGAAAGGCCCUGCUUUUGUGGGGUGCUCGAGUGGCGAACGGGUGAGUAACACGUGAGUAACCUGCCCCUGACUUUGGGAUAACUUCAGGAAACUGGGGCUAAUACCGGAUAGGAGCUCCUGCUGCAUGGUGGGGGUUGGAAAGUUUCGGCGGUUGGGGAUGGACUCGCGGCUUAUCAGCUUGUUGGUGGGGUAGUGGCUUACCAAGGCUUUGACGGGUAGCCGGCCUGAGAGGGUGACCGGCCACAUUGGGACUGAGAUACGGCCCAGACUACUACGGGAGGCAGCAGUGGGGAAUAUUGCACUAUGGGCGGAAGCCUGAUGCAGCAACGCCGCGUGCGGGAUGACGGCCUUCGGGUUGUAAACCGCUUUCGCCUGUGACGAAGCGUGAGUGACGGUAAUGGGUAAAGAAGCACCGGCUAACUACGUG
This 468-nucleotide ribosomal RNA is filed under the name uncultured bacterium. RNAcentral describes it as "partial 16S ribosomal RNA". It matches the Rfam family "Bacterial small subunit ribosomal RNA", at positions 28 to 507 of the family's 1533-position model. The record is from RNAcentral.